GAGGGUAUAGCUCAGUGGUAGCGUGUGUGCUUGGCAUGCACGAGGUCCCAGGUUCAAUCCCCAGUGCCUCCA
RNAcentral lists this transfer RNA (72 nucleotides) under Camelus dromedarius (Arabian camel). It matches the Rfam family "tRNA". Rfam says of the family: Transfer RNA (tRNA) molecules are approximately 80 nucleotides in length. Their secondary structure includes four short double-helical elements and three loops (D, anti-codon, and T loops). Further hydrogen bonds mediate the characteristic L-shaped molecular structure. tRNAs have two regions of fundamental functional importance: the anti-codon, which is responsible for specific mRNA codon recognition, and the 3' end, to which the tRNAs corresponding amino acid is attached (by aminoacyl-tRNA synthetases). tRNAs cope with the degeneracy of the genetic code in two manners: having more than one tRNA (with a specific anti-codon) for a particular amino acid; and 'wobble' base-pairing, i.e. permitting non-standard base-pairing at the 3rd anti-codon position. Lineage: Eukaryota; Metazoa; Chordata; Mammalia; Artiodactyla; Camelidae. RNAcentral also lists the same sequence under 1 other name. The record is from Rfam by way of RNAcentral.